This 321-nucleotide ribosomal RNA is filed under the name Occidozyga martensii (round-tongued floating frog). Its description in RNAcentral is "partial 12 ribosomal RNA". Lineage: Eukaryota; Metazoa; Chordata; Amphibia; Anura; Dicroglossidae. The record is from RNAcentral.
CUUAAAACCCAAAAGACUUGACGGUGUCCAACCCCACUAAGAGGAGCCUGUCCUAAAAUCGAUACUCCCCGCUCAACCUCACCAUUUUUUGCUUAAUCAGUUAGUAUACUUCCGUCGCCAGUUUACCACAUGAAUGAACCGUAGUGGGCUCAAUGACWUCUAMCCAAAACUUCGGGUCAAGGUGCAGCURAAAAAAUGGGCUGAGAUGGGCUACAAUUUCUAUAUUAAAACAUAACRAAUUACUGCAUGAAAAAAACAGUCAUGAAGGUGGAUCUAGUANUAAAAAAAAAAAUANCKUGCCUUUUUUAACACGGGCAAUGG